CUGUCUUCGAAACAUGCUCUCCACUCCUCUUCAGGAAAGGAAUAGUUAAAGGUGAAGUAUGGAGGUGCUUGUCAUGCCGCUUCAUAAACAAACAGACACUGAUGUGGUUUCGAGUCGUGUUGAGCGAAUGCUGGAGUCUGUUUGGGCUGCCCCAGGAAGUAAGUGUGUGUUUUCCUCCUGUUGUCUUGGCCCAUGCAUAGCAGUGUUUUCUUUGUGAUGUCUUCCGUUAUGCACUUGCAUUUAUCUGUCUGCAUCAUGCAUUUGUGUAUGCUGAGUGUGCGUGCGUGUGUGGUUUAUGAUAUAGCAAACACAUAGGGCUCAAUAUCUGUGUGUGUGUGUGUGUGUGUGUGUGUGUCCCGGGCUGCUGCUCAGCUGUAUUCUAAUGUGGCUUUGCUCAUUGUUGCUGUAAAGAGCGUGUGGCACUGAGGCAUUCCUGUGCUGAGGCCUCGCACAAAACCCCUUCAGACUGCAGCCAGUCCUGCUGCUGUACGCUCACCAUCUGGAGCAGAUUGGGAGGAUUCAUAGAGACAUUCUGACACUUUCUUACCUUUCAGAAGGAAACGCUUAAAGUCGGU
Long non-coding RNA from Puntigrus tetrazona (Sumatra barb), 575 nucleotides. RefSeq lists it as uncharacterized. The record is from RefSeq and is a predicted model, not a curated record. The transcript is spliced from 3 exons. Lineage: Eukaryota; Metazoa; Chordata; Actinopteri; Cypriniformes; Cyprinidae.